CUACAGGCAAUCAUUCGCCCAGCCCCCAUUGCACAAUGCUAAAGGGCACCUAGCGCUACCUUCUUGGAGCAAGGCAACGCCAACCUAGAUGCACUAGGGAGCGAAACUUGCUCGCUAGGGAGACCGCGCAUGCGCAAAUCUUGCCUGUAUUUAUCCGCCGGCGCGCUCCGCCGACGAGUAGCUGCGUGUCCAGCGUUCCGAAUUAUUCUGGGAGCACCUGUACAUUGAAGCCGAGAAGGAGAAAGCCAAGCAGGAUAAUAACAGCCUCUGCGACUUUCAAUUUUUCAAGAUUCCGAAGGUGCGCGUUCAGGAAUGCGGCAUGACCAAGCAGAUGUCGGAACGGCGGCGACGCGAGUGCAUCGCCCACCUCAACAAGAGGGGUGUCGCUGAAAAUGCGGGCAACUACAAAAUGUGUUCCCGACACUUUUUAUCAGGUUGUCCGUCAAGUCUAUUUGACGAGCGUAGUCCUGAUUGGGCCUCAUCGAAGCAUUGGGAGUAUGAUGCCAAGAGCACCACCGAAGAACGAUAGAGCCACAAAAAGGCACCUUCGCAACAUCUUUUCACCGCUGAUGCUGUCUGCCAGACGGACAUGUCCAAAGAGGGCAUCAACAAACUUGAGGAGACCGUGGCACGGCUCGACUAGAAGCUGGAUGCAUAUCAAUAUGUUCUUCAUUCAGCAAAGUUCACUCAAGAAAGCUUGGAGGACAGUGAUGCCAAAGUAGCUUUCUAUACUAGGCUUCCUACAUAUUUGUCGUUACUUCCCGUUUUGUAACUGUUGAAAGACCAUAUUUCCCAUUAGGCUAAGCGUUCCCUCACACAGUUUCAACUUAUGAUUCUCUUUUUGAUGAUAUUGAGGCUGGGCUGUCAGCUACAGGACCUUGCAUACCGUUUAUGUAUGUCGCAGCCAAUAGCAUCACGUAUCUGCGAAAGGUGACUGAUCAUGUUUUUCAACUACAUUGGUCCAUUCAUACGCUGGCCAGACAAAGAGCAGAUCCAUAAAACAAUGCUGCUGACUUUUGUUGACAACUUUGGCUUGAAGGUUCGGGUGACACUUGACUGCUUUGAGAUAAGCACCGACAGGCCAAGUUCCUACCUUCCUCGAGCAGAGACAUACGUGGUCUCAAUAUAAGCACCAGAACACGGUGCGAUUUUUGUUGCAGAUUAUUUCCCGGAGGGCGGUCACUUUUCUUUUGGAUGAAUAUGGAGGCCGUGCCAGUGAUAAAAGAAUAACGAAAGAAUGUGGGGUCCUGGAUCUCCUAGAGUUCGGUGAUGUUGUACUGGCUGACAGGAGAGUUUUGACAGCAGAAAGUGUAGGCAUGUGCCAUGCUACACUUGUUGCACCUGCUUUCACUAAAGGGAAAAGGCGACUGUGCAAUAGUGACAUCGAGCGGACAAUGUAGAUAGCGAAUGUGAGGAUACAUGUUGAGUGGGCAAUAGGCAUGGUAAGAAACAAACACACUAUUCUGAAGGGCAGCUUGCCCGUUGAAGUUCUAAAGUGUGAGAAGCACGGCAGGUCUCAGACUGACAAGAUUGCAUGUGUUUGUUGUCCACUCACCAAUCUCUGCUAUAUCUGUCGUGCCAUUCGACUAAAGAGAUGUGAACUAUGGAAGUUUGUCGUGCAAGCCGAGGGGAAGGCCACUGUGAAUGUUUGUGGGUAAAGGCCUAAGGAUUCUUAAAACAAAAGAGAAAGGGCACUGCGGGAACAGCAGACACACCUUACUUAGUACAAGCGCACUAACUGAAGUAGAACAUGAUGGAGCGAAAAAAUAUGGUACUACAUAAUUGGAUAACAAAUACUAUUGGGCUCAAGAUGACGUGCAACGCAUGUGCGCGUGCCCGCAACGCUUCCAGGAUGCGUGGUGGUGUCAGGAAGCAGCGCGUUGGGAAACAAAAGGAAAAAGUGUCUUCCAUUGUGACAAUCAGCUGCAUCCCCUGGACCCUCCAAGUGCUUUAUGUUCCUUUGGGAUGAUAUUGUGCGUAAAUGUGUUGCGGCCGUGAGCGUGCACAUUGCAAAUCACGUUCAUCGUGACCAUACAUGUGGUUGAUUGUGCCAACGCCGAGAUGCGGUGUUUACUAUUGUUCACUGUAACAUUGGUGCACUGUGCAGCUUGGAGCUCGGGGCAUCAGCAGUUGUCAUGCCUGUCGUAAGGAGUGUGCGGGGCAGCGGCCAGUGAGCUGGGGGUAGGUUGCGGCUGUCCCAAGUUGCCGUGUCAUUGCAGCUCAGCAAAUGCUACGGAGAAGAUCAACGCAUAGAGUCAUGCGCUGACAAACACUAUUGUGUUUGCUAUGUUCGAAUACUUAGACGCUUGUGCACUAAGGAUACAUAAGUUUCCUGACCUUCAGAAAGACUUGGAAAGAUAGGGUGCAUACACACCGCUGACGAGUGACAUCAUCAUACCAUAUUGCAGGGUCCCAGGUCUCCGACAAGCCCACAGCACCGAACUGCUUGU
Molecule: non-coding RNA, 2450 nt
Organism: Dermacentor albipictus
Lineage: Eukaryota; Metazoa; Arthropoda; Arachnida; Ixodida; Ixodidae
Source: RefSeq, a predicted model, not a curated record